UCUUCAUUCCACAUACUCUCUCGCCACUCGGUUGGUCGAGAGAGAGUGUGUGAAAUGAAGAGA
RNAcentral lists this microRNA precursor (63 nucleotides) under Pristionchus pacificus. RNAcentral's name for it is "mir-8364 microRNA precursor family". It matches the Rfam family "mir-8364 microRNA precursor family". The record is from Rfam by way of RNAcentral. Lineage: Eukaryota; Metazoa; Nematoda; Chromadorea; Rhabditida; Neodiplogasteridae.